AUUGAACGCUGGCGGCAUGCCUUACACAUGCAAGUCGAACGGCAGCGCGGGAGCAAUCCUGGCGGCGCGUGGCGAACGGGUGAGUAAUACAUCGGAACGUGCCCAAUCGAGGGGGAUAACGCAGCGAAAGCUGUGCUAAUACAGCAUACGAUCUACGGAUGAAAGCAGGGGAGCGCGAGACCUUGCGCGAAUUGAGCGGCCGAUGGCAGAUUAGGUAGUUGGUGGGGUAAAGGCUCACCAAGCCUACGAUCUGUAGCUGGUCUGAGAGGACGACCAGCCACACUGGGACUGAGACACGGCCCAGACUCCUACGGGAGGCAGCAGUGGGGAAUUUUGGACAAUGGGCGAAAGCCUGAUCCAGCCAUGCCGCGUGCAGGAUGAAGGCCUUCGGGUUGUAAACUGCUUUUGUCCGGAACGAAACGGUCUGUUCUAAUAAAGAAGGCUAAUGGCGGUACCGUAAGAAUAAGCACCGGCUAACUACGUG
Molecule: ribosomal RNA, 484 nt
Filed under: uncultured bacterium
Lineage: Bacteria
Description: partial 16S ribosomal RNA
Rfam family: Bacterial small subunit ribosomal RNA
Source: RNAcentral